RNAcentral lists this ribosomal RNA (440 nucleotides) under uncultured bacterium. RNAcentral describes it as "partial 16S ribosomal RNA". It matches the Rfam family "Bacterial small subunit ribosomal RNA", at positions 338 to 795 of the family's 1533-position model. The record is from RNAcentral.
CCUACGCGAUGCAGCAGUGGGGAAUAUUGCACAAUGGGGGAAACCCUGAUGCAGCGACGCCGCGUGAGUGAAGAAGUAUUUCGGUAUGGAAAGCUCUAUCAGCAGGGAAGUUAAUGACGGUACCUGAGUAAGAAGCCACGGCUAACUACGUGCCAGCUGCCGUGGUAAUACGUAGGGGGCAAGCGUUAUCCGGAUUUACUGGGUGUAAAGGGAGCGUAGACGGCAUGGCAAGUCUGAAGUGAAAGCGCGGGGCUCAACCGCGGGACUGCUUUGGAAACGGUUAAGCUGGAGUGCAGGAGAGGUAAGUGGAAUUCGUGGUGUAGCGGUGAAAUGCGUAGAUAUUAGGAGGAACACCAGUGGCGAAGGCGGCUUACUGAACUGUAACUGACGUUGAGGCUCGAAAGCGUGGGGAGCAAACAGGAUUAGAUACCCUAGUAGUC